GACGAACGCUGGCGGCGUGCUUAACACAUGCAAGUCGAACGGAAAGGCCCUGCUUUUGUGUCGUGCUCGAGUGGCGAACGGGUGAGUAACACGUGAGUAACCUGCCCUUGACUUUGGGAUAACUUCAGGAGACUGGGGCUAAUACCGGAUAGGAGCUCCUGCUGCAUGGGGGGGAAUGGAAAGUUUCGGCGGUUGGGGAUGGACUCGCGGCUUAUCAGCUUGUUGGUGGGGUUGUGGCUUACCAAGGCUUUGACGGGUAGCCGGCCUGAGAGGGUGACCGGCCACAUUGGGACUGAGAUACGGCCCAGACUCCUACGGGAGGCAGCAGUGGGGAAUAUUGCACAAUGGGCGGAAGCCUGAUGCAGCAACGCCGCGUGCGGGAUGACGGCCUUCGGGUUGUAAACCGCUUUCGCCUGUGACGAAGCGUGAGUGACGGUAAUGGGUAAAGAAGCACCGGCUAACUACGUG
Molecule: ribosomal RNA, 468 nt
Filed under: uncultured bacterium
Lineage: Bacteria
Description: partial 16S ribosomal RNA
Rfam family: Bacterial small subunit ribosomal RNA
Source: RNAcentral